Long non-coding RNA from Passer montanus (Eurasian tree sparrow), 1613 nucleotides. RefSeq lists it as uncharacterized. The transcript is spliced from 2 exons. Lineage: Eukaryota; Metazoa; Chordata; Aves; Passeriformes; Passeridae. The record is from RefSeq and is a predicted model, not a curated record.
GAGCGCGGGAACGCCGCCCGCAGCGCCCGGAGGCCGCGGCCCGCAGCUGCGGGAAACGGGGCUCGGGACAAGUGACAGCUGUCAAGAGGAGGGUGCCAGACUCAGAAUUCUCAGUGAUGCCCAGUGACAGGAUGAGGAGCAAUGGCCACAAACGAAACCAAAGCACAAGGAGUUUCACCUAUCAAGAGGAAGAACUUCCUUACACAGAGCGUGGCAGAGCACUGGAACAGGCUGCCCAGGAAGGUUAUUUUCCUCUUUUUUUUUUUCCUUUCCAGUUGGAUGGAACACCAAAUUGGCAGCAAUGAGGAAAGUGUUUCUGGGUGGUAUUAAAGAAAAAAACAAAACCAAACAAUGCCCCAAAACCAACAACAACAACCAAACAAACAAAAAACAAACAACAAAAAACCAAAAACAAACAAAAAAAAGUAGGAAAAGGAUGGAACUCUGGUAGCAAAAAGGAUCCAGAAACAAAAUAUUUAAUAUUUACAGUAAAUGAGUGGUGUAGAAGAUUACAAGGAGGAGCAGCACAGCUCUUAACUCAGUGGUGGCUGUGGAGAUACACAAGAGCUAAACUGUAACUUUUAUUUGUGUGUAACUAAUCAGAGCAUGGAGGACAGAACUGUAAAUAACAGAACUCUCGUAUGAAAACCUAAUUAGUUCAUAAAUUAGCACUUUGGUUUCUGAGUAGUCUGUUGCAUCAGUCACAUUCACAUCUCCCAUCUGCAGCCUGAAGAGCAGGACCUGGCCCAGAACAAAGUCCUGAAGCUCCUGGUUUGGUUAACAGCUCAAGGUCCCAAGGGUGGUGCCCCUCAGGGCUCCAUACUGGGACCAGUAUGAACUUCUCUGGGAAACCUGUAAAGAAUUUCUUCCCAAUACCCAAUCUAUCCCUGCCCUGAUCAGUUUAAAGCCAUUGCCCCUUGUCCUGUUGGUCCAUGCCCUUAUCCAAAGUCCCUUCCCAGCUCCUCUGGAGCCCCUUCAGAUGCUGAAAGGUCUCGCUGGGACCUUCUCUUCUCCAGGCUGAACAAAACUCUCAGGCUGUGUCCAAGCAGAGGUGCCCCAGCCCUCUGACAUUUACAUUUCUAUACACACACUGUGCAUUCUGAAUAACCUCUGUAGUGACUCACCUAAUUACAUCAGUUAAUUUUAAAAAUUCAACAUCUGCAGUGGCACUACAACGUUCAAAUAAGAGAGAUCAGUGUUCCAGCUGUGUGAUGCAGAGGUUAUUCCACUUUCCUCCUUCAGCCCACAAUACAAUGUACCUCUCAAAGUAGGGAUCUCACUUCAUUUUCAAAGACAGGGUGAAGUCAGAAAAUCUCUUCCACUCUUCAAAAGAAACAUCCACUCACGUGUUUCACGUGGCAAAUUAAAAGUGUAGAGCACAGACUUUUAAAAAACAAAGUUUCAAAGCACACCCAAGCCCAGCCCAGAUAUUUUAGACUCCCAAGAGCAUUUGCUUCACAGACAACCAAAAAGAUGUGUUUCAUGGAGGUGGUUUAUUUUAAGAAUUUACAGAUUUCUGGGGCUUUUCCACUUCUUCACAAGAUAACAGAGCAGUCUUGUUAACACAGACACAGGCAGGCUAAACCACAUAUGCUCAGAAGAGCUCCUCUUCA